UAGGGAAUAGCCAAAUUGGUACGGCACUAGACUUUGACUCUAGUAAUCGUAGGUUCGAAUCCUACUUCCCUAACCA
This 76-nucleotide transfer RNA is filed under the name Alkaliphilus sp. B6464. Its description in RNAcentral is "tRNA-Gln". It matches the Rfam family "tRNA". Rfam says of the family: Transfer RNA (tRNA) molecules are approximately 80 nucleotides in length. Their secondary structure includes four short double-helical elements and three loops (D, anti-codon, and T loops). Lineage: Bacteria; Bacillati; Bacillota; Clostridia; Peptostreptococcales; Natronincolaceae. The record is from RNAcentral.